UGACAGUUUUACUGGGAGUUUGCUGAAGGGGCACGAACACAACACCCUGACCUUCCCUUUGAGUGUCAGCCCUGAUAAGCACAGGCAAUAAUUAUAUCCAACAACUGCCAUGACCCACACACACUUAUCUUUGGAAGCAAAGAGCCUCCUAAACUAACUUAUUUUUAAACCAUGGGGAGACACUUCAGUUGCUACACAAGGCAGUCUUAAAUAUCAUGACUUAAAGUUUAAAUAUAACUAAAGCUAAUUAGGGAAUGUUCUUCCAACUGUCCACUUUCUUGUCAACUCUACCAGACAGCAGGAAAUUCCAUUGCAUUCCUUUACCACAUCUCAGAGAUUCAUCAACUCAGAAUUAACCGACCCACUACAUCUCACAAAAAAAGGGAAAAUCAUCAAUUCCCUUCAGUACAGUUUUGAAAAGCUACUUGAGCUCAUCUUCACGUCCCAGAAAGUUCUCCUUUCAGGAGAGCAGAACACUUGCAUCAUACAGCUUCCUUUCAAGAAUUCCAACUCAAUUUAGUGCUUUUUCAAAUUAAUUUUUUGCUUCAGCACUUGUUUCAUCGUGGUAUUUGGAUGUUUGCAACCACUAAAUACCUCUCACCUGCAGUACCUGGACAUCACAUCUGCCUUACAGAACAAGAUGUACCCACUCCUACAACUGCAGCACCUUCUUGCACACGUAACCGCUGACAUUUAGGACUGAAGGACUAAUCUAAGAGGUCUUCAUAUAAAUUUCUGUAUAAAGUUAUUAAGUGAAGUCCUUUGAUGCUAAAGCAUUAAAAUACGGCUUUUUAGCAACUAUUCAUGAGCAACUGUGUGAACAACUGCAGAGACUUCCAAGAUUAUAAGUUUAUAAUCACAGGUGAAGAAUUCAUUUAGUAAAUACAGCUAUUUUUAAAACCCAAUAAACAAAACAGCUACAGUGUCAGUUGAAACAACACAAGACCUUCAGCUGCUUGUCCAGAGUUUGGAAAUUGUAAAAUUAGCGAACACAGACUAAACAGAUGUGGUUGUGUACAGCAGAGGUUGCCAACCUUUUAUCUGCAUUUAAUCUAGUUAUGAAAAAUACAGUAUUCCACUACUCCUGCAGCACAUUUUAGAACUACAUGCCUUGCACACUUAAAUCAAUUUCAGUGUCAGCAAGAAUCAGCUUCAUUUGGAUCAGGACAAUUUUAACAGAUGCUGAUCUCAUCAGCCCUUGCCCAAAGCCUCAUUUCUAUCAACAGAGGUGAAGCAGGCACAGGAUUGUUCCCCUCUCACAACACUGUUUGUCUUGUUUUCAGGACAUUUGGUUGAUUUGAAGUCAAAAGUAUUACCUUAAAUGAUUUUACAAGCAGAAGUCGAGCCUUUCAGAUGUCCUACAAAUAAACAGAUCUAACAUUCAGGCAGUCAAUUACAAGUGAAAUGUCUUACCUUCAAGAAUUUUCAUGGUUAUCUUAAAUGGGUUUACAUAACCUUU
This is a long non-coding RNA of Empidonax traillii (willow flycatcher), 1459 nucleotides long. RefSeq lists it as uncharacterized. The transcript has 2 exons. Lineage: Eukaryota; Metazoa; Chordata; Aves; Passeriformes; Tyrannidae. The record is from RefSeq and is a predicted model, not a curated record.